CUUGUAGCUCAAUUGGAUAGAGCAUCUGACUACGGAUCAGAAGGUUGGGGGUUCGAGUCCCUCCAAG
This 67-nucleotide transfer RNA is filed under the name marine eukaryotic metagenome. It matches the Rfam family "tRNA". From Rfam's summary of the family: Transfer RNA (tRNA) molecules are approximately 80 nucleotides in length. Their secondary structure includes four short double-helical elements and three loops (D, anti-codon, and T loops). Further hydrogen bonds mediate the characteristic L-shaped molecular structure. tRNAs have two regions of fundamental functional importance: the anti-codon, which is responsible for specific mRNA codon recognition, and the 3' end, to which the tRNAs corresponding amino acid is attached (by aminoacyl-tRNA synthetases). tRNAs cope with the degeneracy of the genetic code in two manners: having more than one tRNA (with a specific anti-codon) for a particular amino acid; and 'wobble' base-pairing, i.e. permitting non-standard base-pairing at the 3rd anti-codon position. The record is from RNAcentral.